CACGACUCUCGGCAAUGGAUAUCUCGGCUCUCGCAUCGAUGAAGAGCGCAGCGAAAUGCGAUACGUGGUGCGAAUUGCAGAAUCCCGCGAACCAUCGAGUCUUUGAACGCAAGUUGCGCCCGAGGCCAACCGGCCAAGGGCACGUCCGCCGGGGCGUCAAGC
Molecule: ribosomal RNA, 162 nt
Filed under: Bulbophyllum obtusangulum
Lineage: Eukaryota; Viridiplantae; Streptophyta; Magnoliopsida; Asparagales; Orchidaceae
Description: 5.8S ribosomal RNA
Rfam family: 5.8S ribosomal RNA
About the family: 5.8S ribosomal RNA (5.8S rRNA) is a component of the large subunit of the eukaryotic ribosome. It is transcribed by RNA polymerase I as part of the 45S precursor that also contains 18S and 28S rRNA. Functionally, it is thought that 5.8S rRNA may be involved in ribosome translocation.
Source: RNAcentral